AACGAACGCUGGCGGCAUGCCUAACACAUGCAAGUCGAACGAGACCUUCGGGUCUAGUGGCGCACGGGUGCGUAACGCGUGGGAACCUGCCCUUAGGUUCGGAAUAACUCCCCGAAAGGGGUGCUAAUACCGGAUAAUGUCUUCGGACCAAAGAUUUAUCGCCUUUGGAUGGGCCCGCGUUGGAUUAGCUAGUUGGUAGGGUAAAAGCCUACCAAGGCGACGAUCCAUAGCUGGUCUGAGAGGAUGAUCAGCCACACUGGGACUGAGACACGGCCCAGAACUCCAACGGAGGGCGGAGGUGGGGAAAAUUGAACAUGGGGCAAAGGCCGAUUCCAGCAAUGCGGGGUGAUUAAGAAGGGCCUAGGGUUUUUAAAGCUCUUUUACCCGGAUGAUUAAGAACAGAACCGGGGGAUUAGGCCCGGGCAAACUCCUG
RNAcentral lists this ribosomal RNA (433 nucleotides) under uncultured bacterium. RNAcentral describes it as "partial 16S ribosomal RNA". It matches the Rfam family "Bacterial small subunit ribosomal RNA", at positions 29 to 506 of the family's 1533-position model. The record is from RNAcentral.